RNAcentral lists this transfer RNA (74 nucleotides) under Candidatus Schekmanbacteria bacterium GWA2_38_9. RNAcentral's name for it is "tRNA-Arg". It matches the Rfam family "tRNA". From Rfam's summary of the family: Transfer RNA (tRNA) molecules are approximately 80 nucleotides in length. The record is from RNAcentral. RNAcentral also lists the same sequence under 3 other names. Lineage: Bacteria; Candidatus Schekmaniibacteriota.
GCGCCCGUAGCUCAGCUGGAUAGAGCGUCGGACUUCGAAUCCGCAAGUCGCACGUUCGAAUCGUGCCGGGCGCG